RNAcentral lists this ribosomal RNA (468 nucleotides) under uncultured bacterium. RNAcentral's name for it is "partial 16S ribosomal RNA". It matches the Rfam family "Bacterial small subunit ribosomal RNA", at positions 28 to 507 of the family's 1533-position model. The record is from RNAcentral.
GACGAACGCUGGCGGCGUGCUUAACACAUGCCAGUCGAACGGAAAGGCACUGCUAUUGUGGUGUGCUCGAGUGCCGAACGCGUGCGUAACACGUGAGUAACCUACCCUUGACUUUCGUAUAACUUCAGGAAACUGGGGCUACUCCAGUAUCGCAGCUCCUCCUCCAUGGAGGGGGGUGGAAAGUUGCGGCGGUAGGGGAUGGACGGGCGGCUUAUCGGCUAGUUGGUUGGGUAGUGGCUUACCAAGGCUUUGACGGGUAGGCGGCCUGAGAGGGUGACCGGCGUCCUUGCGACUGAGAGACGGCGCAGACGCCUACGGUAGGCAGCAGGCGGGAAUAUGGCCCAAUGGGCGGAAGCCUGAUGCAGCAACGCCGCGGGCGGGAUGCCGGCCUUUGGGGUGUAAACCGCUUUCGCCUGUGACGAAGCGUGACUGACGGUAAUGGGUAAAGAAGCACCGGCUAACUACGUG